RNAcentral lists this ribosomal RNA (424 nucleotides) under uncultured prokaryote. RNAcentral's name for it is "bacterial SSU rRNA". It matches the Rfam family "Bacterial small subunit ribosomal RNA", at positions 355 to 776 of the family's 1533-position model. The record is from RNAcentral.
UGAGGAAUAUUGGUCAAUGGACGCAAGUCUGAACCAGCCAUGCCGCGUGCAGGAUGACGGCCCUAUGAGUUGUAAACUGCUUUUAUAUAGGGGUAAACUCAGGUACGUGUACCUGACUGAAAGUACUAUACGAAUAAGGAUCGGCUAACUCCGUGCCAGCAGCCGCGGUAAUACGGAGGAUCCAAGCGUUAUCCGGAUUUAUUGGGUUUAAAGGGUGCGUAGGCGGCCCGGUAAGUUAGAGGUGAAAUCUCGUCGCUCAACGACGAACGUGCCUCUGAUACUGUCGGGCUAGCGAGAGAGUGCUGUGGGCGGAAUGUGUAGUGUAGCGGUGAAAUGCUUAGAGAUUACACAGAACACCGAUUGCGAAAGCAGCUCACAAACUCUUUUCGGACGCUGAGGCACGAAAGCGUGGGGAGCAAACAGG